UUUACAAUCGUCUUUUUUCGGAACUGUUCUCUUGACAAACAAAUAAUAAAGACAAAAGGGAACAUGCAAGGGAGCGUGCGGUUUUUCUUGUCUCUUGCAUUUCUCGUCAGUUGCAUUUUUAGUUCUGAAAAGUGAAGUUCGUGCCACGUGUUUUGAAAAAGUUUGUUGCUUUCUGCCACCAAUUUUACAUCAACAUUUUCACAGAAUCGCAAAAAAUGAAUGGGCACACCAAGGACUGAACUGCGUAAAUGACAAAUGUACAUAAACAAGAAGGAAGCACCAAAGCACCGUACAGAAGGGGAGUUACUCCGAUCAAAAAUUAGUUGCGUUCUUGAAUAUUGAAAAAAAAAAUAUGAAAUAGAAAUCCAGUUGUAUGUAUUCCUGGGGAAAACUUCCAGAUAUUUGGUUUUUGAAUGCUUCUAGGUGCAUUCCUGGGUUGCUCCCAGGUGCAUUAAAAAAGAGUACACCCAGAAUGUGUUUAGUUUGUUACUUCCAGGUGCAUUCCAGAUAUAUGCUUCCAGAAGCAUGCAACGGGUGCAUUCUUUUUUGUCCCGCACCCGUGU
Non-coding RNA from Drosophila suzukii, 563 nucleotides. Lineage: Eukaryota; Metazoa; Arthropoda; Insecta; Diptera; Drosophilidae. The record is from RefSeq and is a predicted model, not a curated record.